Molecule: RNA transcript, 1023 nt
Organism: Solanum dulcamara
Lineage: Eukaryota; Viridiplantae; Streptophyta; Magnoliopsida; Solanales; Solanaceae
Gene name: NAC domain-containing protein 2-like
Exons: 5
Source: RefSeq, a predicted model, not a curated record
ACGCAGAAUAGGGUAAAAUUUUUGUCAUAAUAAGACAAAUAGAAAAAGAAAAAUCCUUCACCUAGUGUUUUCCUUUCAUUCUAGGGUAGAUAAGCACAGGAUGUAUAACUAGAAUUUGAAAAGGUCAAUUCCCUAUUUCUUUUUUUUCAUGUGAGUUUAAUAGAACUCAAUCACAAAUAGAAGUCCAAAAGGCCCGUCCGUUUUUCUGUUUACUAUAAAAAAAAACAGGAAGUUUAUAGAUCUUCAAAACGAGACAAAAAAAAAUUUAAAAGAUCAUCAUACUAUUUCAUUUAUAAUUAAUGGCUGGAUAUGAUGUGAUGACAGAGCUCCCUCCCGGUUACAGAUUUGUCCCCACUGAUGUGGAGUUGGUUCAACAUUACCUUGCCAAAAAGGUUCAUUAUCAACGUCCUGUUCCAUCUCUAGCUCCACUGGUUGAAGAUAUCCAUGCAAGGGAAUUUUACAGCAAAUCUCCUGACACUCUUGGUAUUUCUCCGGCUCAAUCCUGACAGUAAUCAUGAAGACUGCCUGUCAGGGGAGCCUUGGAGUAACUGGUAAAGUUGCCUCCAUGUGAUCAGGAGGUCACGGGUUCAAGCCUUGGAAACAGCCUCUCACAUAAAUUCAAGUGAAAAAUAUCUGCGGCGAAGGAGAAUGGUACUUCUUCAUCCAUCAAGAUCAGUAUUUCAGAGGAAAUAUAGGAAAAAUUCGCAUUGAUGGUAAUAAAAUAGGUUUUUGGCAAUGCUUUGGAAAAGAGUUUCCAAUUUAUAAUUUAGAAGGAGAUGUGAUUGGAUUCAAGGUUAAUUUGAAAUACUGUACUGGAUCGACAAAGAUAAAUAAUUGGACGAUGGAAAAAUACCGUUUAACUUGUGAAUGUGGCGCUAACGACGAGAUUGAAGAAUGGGUUCUUGGAAGACUUAUAAUAGGGAAAAAGAAUGAUUACAACAAUUAUCUGUAGCGCUAUUGUUUUUUUCAAGAAAGGAAGGACGUCGCCAUUCUAUUUCUUUUUUAGUAACCAUUCUUUAUUGA